RNAcentral lists this unclassified non-coding RNA (303 nucleotides) under Hevea brasiliensis (rubber tree). Lineage: Eukaryota; Viridiplantae; Streptophyta; Magnoliopsida; Malpighiales; Euphorbiaceae. The record is from RNAcentral.
GGAGAUUCAGAACUUGACAGAUUUUUAUGAUGAUAACAGAGCACAAUUUCUCGGAAUGCUACAAGACGCCGGUCAUAACUUUUUUGAUCCCAGGGGCAGACUUCUUCCCAGAUCGUAUGACGUUUUAGGUCUAUACACCACAUUCAUAUUUCAAAAGCAUGAUCCGGAUAUUGCACCUCCACUUACAACUCCAUUUUUGCCUGUUGGAAGCCACUAUCUUGAUGAGAUGGAAUGGCAAGUCAUUUUGUGGAAUGAAGAGGAGAAUGGACAGACUGAUUCGUCUAUAGGGUUAGGCAAGAUAAC